UACGGAGGGGGCUAGCGUUAUUCGGAAUCACUGGGCGUAAAGCGCACGUAGGCGGACUGGAAAGUUGGGGGUGAAAGCCCAGGGCUCAACCCUGGAACUGCCUUCAAAACUCCCAGUCUUGAGGUCGAGAGAGGUGAGUGGAAUUCCGAGUGUAGAGGUGAAAUUCGUAGAUAUUCGGAGGAACACCAGUGGCGAAGGCGGCUCACUGGCUCGAUACUGACGCUGAGGUGCGAAAGCGUGGGGAG
RNAcentral lists this ribosomal RNA (245 nucleotides) under uncultured Rhodobacter sp. Its description in RNAcentral is "partial 16S ribosomal RNA". It matches the Rfam family "Bacterial small subunit ribosomal RNA", at positions 524 to 768 of the family's 1533-position model. Lineage: Bacteria; Pseudomonadati; Pseudomonadota; Alphaproteobacteria; Rhodobacterales. The record is from RNAcentral.